AGCGGAUGACCUGUGGCUGGGGGUGAAAGGCCAAUCAAACCGGGAGAUAGCUGGUUCUCCCCGAAAGCUAUUUAGGUAGCGCCUCGUGAAUUCAUCUCCGGGGGUAGAGCACUGUUUCGGCUAGGGGGCCAUCCCGGCUUACCAACCCGAUGCAAACUGCGAAUACCGGAGAAUGUUAUCACGGGAGACACACGGCGGGUGCUAACGUCCGUCGUGAAGAGGGAAACAACCCAGACCGCCAGCUAAGGUCCCAAAGUCAUGGUUAAGUGGGAAACGAUGUGGGAAGGCCCAGACAGCCAGGAUGUUGGCUUAGAAGCAGCCAUCAUUUAAAGAAAGCGUAAUAGCUCACUGGUCGAGUCGGCCUGCGCGGAAGAUGUAACGGGGCUAAACCAUGCACCGAAGCUGCGGCAGCGAACGUAUCACCCAAGACAACUUUACGGAGUUGACGAUUGACGGAGCGAAGCGACGUCAAAGCGUUCAUUAAAGUCGAGUUGGCUUAGGGAUACGUUCGUUGGGUAGGGGAGCGUUCUGUAAGCCUGUGAAGGUGUGUCGUGAGGCAUGCUGGAGGUAUCAGAAGUGCGAAUGCUGACAUAAGUAACGAUAAAGCGGGUGAAAAGCCCGCUCGCCGGAAGACCAAGGGUUCCUGUCCAACGUUAAUCGGGGCAGGGUGAGUCGACCCCUAAGGCGAGGCCGAAAGGCGUAGUCGAUGGGAAACGGGUUAAUAUUCCCGUACUUGGUGUUACUGCGAAGGGGGGACGGAGAAGGCUAUGUUGGCCGGGCGACGGUUGUCCCGGUUUAAGCGUGUAGGUGUGUGUUCCAGGUAAAUCCGGUUCACUUUAACACUGAGGCGUGACGACGAGGCACUACGGUGCUGAAGCAACAAAUGCCCUGCUUCCAGGAAAAGCCUCUAAGCAUCAGGUAACAUCAAAUCGUACCCCAAACCGACACAGGUGGUCAGGUAGAGAAUACCAAGGCGCUUGAGAGAACUCGGGUGAAGGAACUAGGCAAAAUGGUGCCGUAACUUCGGGAGAAGGCACGCUGACACGUAGGUGAAGUGAUUUACUCAUGGAGCUGAAGUCAGUCGAAGAUACCAGCUGGCUGCAACUGUUUAUUAAAAACACAGCACUGUGCAAACACGAAAGUGGACGUAUACGGUGUGACGCCUGCCCGGUGCCGGAAGGUUAAUUGAUGGGGUCAGCGCAAGCGAAGCUCCUGAUCGAAGCCCCGGUAAACGGCGGCCGUAACUAUAACGGUCCUAAGGUAGCGAAAUUCCUUGUCGGGUAAGUUCCGACCUGCACGAAUGGCGUAAUGAUGGCCAGGCUGUCUCCACCCGAGACUCAGUGAAAUUGAACUCGCUGUGAAGAUGCAGUGUACCCGCGGCAAGACGGAAAGACCCCGUGAACCUUUACUAUAGCUUGACACUGAACAUUGAGCCUUGAUGUGUAGGAUAGGUGGGAGGCUUUGAAGUGUGGACGCCAGUCUGCAUGGAGCCGACCUUGAAAUACCACCCUUUAAUGUUUGAUGUUCUAACGUGGACCCGUAAUCCGGGUUGCGGACAGUGUCUGGUGGGUAGUUUGACUGGGGCGGUCUCCUCCUAAAGAGUAACGGAGGAGCACGAAGGUUGGCUAAUCCUGGUCGGACAUCAGGAGGUUAGUGCAAUGGCAUAAGCCAGCUUGACUGCGAGCGUGACGGCGCGAGCAGGUGCGAAAGCAGGUCAUAGUGAUCCGGUGGUUCUGAAUGGAAGGGCCAUCGCUCAACGGAUAAAAGGUACUCCGGGGAUAACAGGCUGAUACCGCCCAAGAGUUCAUAUCGACGGCGGUGUUUGGCACCUCGAUGUCGGCUCAUCACAUCCUGGGGCUGAAGUAGGUCCCAAGGGUAUGGCUGUUCGCCAUUUAAAGUGGUACGCGAGCUGGGUUUAGAACGUCGUGAGACAGUUCGGUCCCUAUCUGCCGUGGGCGCUGGAGAACUGAGGGGGGCUGCUCCUAGUACGAGAGGACCGGAGUGGACGCAUCACUGGUGUUCGGGUUGUCAUGCCAAUGGCACUGCCCGGUAGCUAAAUGCGGAAGAGAUAAGUGCUGAAAGCAUCUAAGCACGAAACUUGCCCCGAGAUGAGUUCUCCCUGAGACUUAGAGUCUCCUGAAGGAACGUUGAAGACGACGACGUUGAUAGGCCGGGUGUGUAAGCGCAGCGAUGCGUUGAGCUAACCGGUACUAAUGAACCGUGAGGCUUAACCUUACA
Molecule: ribosomal RNA, 2238 nt
Filed under: Salmonella enterica subsp. enterica serovar Typhimurium
Lineage: Bacteria; Pseudomonadati; Pseudomonadota; Gammaproteobacteria; Enterobacterales; Enterobacteriaceae
Description: partial 23S ribosomal RNA
Rfam family: Bacterial large subunit ribosomal RNA
Source: RNAcentral